AAAAAGAGGGAGGAGACAACUGAAAAUAAUAAUUACGAAAGCAUCUAACUACUAUAUAACAAAGGAGGUAGUCCAAUUGUAUAUUAUUCAUCACUCAUCAAAGAUAGUUAACAUCAUGGCACAGAUGAAGAAUGUAUCAAAUUGGAAGGAUGUUGAAUCAGUGCCAGAAAUUUAUGUGUUUCCAUCGGAGAAGAGGCCCGGCGUCCCGGUGAAGAUGACGAUUCCGGUACUUGAUUUUGACACACAUGAUCGAGCCCUUCUCUUCCAAAAAAUUCUUAACAUUACUCAAGAGUUCAGGUUUUUGCAGGUGAUAAACCAUGGAGUAUCAAAAGAAUUGAUAAACGAAACGAUGAAGAUUUUGAAGGAGUUUCAUGCCAUGUCGUUGGAAGAUAAAGAGACGGAAUGUUCCAAGGACCCCAACAAAAGUUGCAAAUUUUAUACAAGCUCUCAAUAUUAUGACAAUGAACACACUCACAACUGGAGAGAAGCUUUGACUUUCAAAUGUCAUCCUUUGGACAAAUAUGUUCAUUUUUGGCCCGAAAAGCCACCUAAAUUCAGGGAGGUGGUUGAAGCAUAUUGUGUUGAAAUGAGAAACUUUGCUUGCAAGAUAUUGGAGGUGAUUAGUGAAGGGUUGGGACUUGGAAGAGAGUAUUUUGAGAGUGAAAUGAGUGAAAAUCCAUUGCUUACAAUAAACCAUUACCCACCAUGCCCAAACCCUAGCUUGACUUUGGGAUUGUUCCCACAUUGUGAUCCAGACCUCAUCACCAUUUCGUUUCAAGAUGUCAAUGGCCUUCAAGUCUUCAAGGAUGGUCAAUGGAUUGAUGUUGAUCCCAUUGAUGAUUCCCUUCUCAUCAACUUUGGCUAUGUUCUCGAGGUGAUUAGCGAUGGAAAGCUAAAAGCAACGGAACAUCGAGUCGUGACGAAUUCGAAGACAUCUCGACAAAGCUUAAACUAUCUAGUUUUUCCUGGAAAUGAUGUGACUAUAGAACCAGCAAAGAGGCUGAUAGAUGAAGCUAACCCUCCACAAUAUCGCUCCAUCAAGUUCAAAGUAUUUAUGACAGAAUAUUUUCCUAUGUCCAGAGAUAGAGAUGUAGUGAUUAAGUAUUUAGCUUCAACCAAUCUCAAUGAGUGUCUAAAAUAGAACUGUUGUGUUGUUAGCUGAUUACUAUUAUUAUAAUAUUAAAGAACUAUUGUAUGUUACUAUCGUGUGAGUAUUGUUAUCCUAG
This 1226-nucleotide unclassified non-coding RNA is filed under the name Hevea brasiliensis (rubber tree). The record is from RNAcentral. Lineage: Eukaryota; Viridiplantae; Streptophyta; Magnoliopsida; Malpighiales; Euphorbiaceae.